Molecule: ribosomal RNA, 420 nt
Filed under: bacterium
Lineage: Bacteria
Description: partial 16S ribosomal RNA
Rfam family: Bacterial small subunit ribosomal RNA
Source: RNAcentral
UGGGGGAUAUUGCACAAUGGGCGAAAGCCUGAUGCAGCGACGCCGCGUGGGGGAUGAAGGCUUUCGGGUUGUAAACCUCUUUCGCUAUCGAACAAGGCCCGCUUAGGGUGGGUUGAGGGUAGGUGGAGAAGAAGCGCCGGCUAACUACGUGCCAGCAGCCGCGGUAAUACGUAGGGCGCGAGCGUUGUCCGGAAUUAUUGGGCGUAAAGGGCUUGUAGGCGGCUUGUUGCGCCUGCUGUGAAAACGCGGGGCUUAACUUCGCGCGUGCAGUGGGUACGGGCAGGCUUGAGUGUGGUAGGGGUGACUGGAAUUCCAGGUGUAGCGGUGGAAUGCGCAGAUAUCUGGAGGAACAACGAUGGCGAAGGCAGGUCACUGGGCCAUUACUGACGCUGAGGAGCGAAAGCAUGGGUAGCGAACAGG